This is a long non-coding RNA of Malus domestica (apple), 661 nucleotides long. RefSeq lists it as uncharacterized. The record is from RefSeq and is a predicted model, not a curated record. NCBI's taxonomy places the organism in Eukaryota, Viridiplantae, Streptophyta, Magnoliopsida, Rosales, Rosaceae.
UUAGAUUUCUCAAAGUUUGAAUCUGGUAAAUUUGCCAUCUUCUACUUUCUUCCCCUCCCAACAAUGAAAAACCCUAAAAAACCGAAAGGCUGGUGAGGAGGACGACCAUGGUGGCCGCUGCAUUGCUGCUUGCUUCCUCUUUACUGCUGAUUACGGCCCUGAGCCCAACGCUCUCGAUCCUUUCAUUGAUGCUGAAACAAUGGUUUCUCCAACAAUUUUUGCCCAUCGUAGUUUAUCUUAUCUCAUGAGUGACAAGCCUCAGGAACCUCUCAACGAUGCAAUGCAAGCACAAGUAGUUUCCCCAGUUUGGCACAUUGUAUCUUAUCUUCAGGGUGCUGCCCUUUUGGCCAUUCAGAUGCUGACAGAUUCUUGCUUGGAAGGACAGCUUUCUAAUGAUGAUGGUACCAAGUUGGCACGGUUGGCUUCACAAAGUUUACAAUCUGAACCCUGAGAGCGACCAAAUCUAAAGUCAUUAGUUGCUUCUUUGAUUCCUCUUCAGAAAGAGACUGAGGUUAGUUCUCUCCUCUGUUUCUCUAAUUAAGCAUUAUAUUCCCAACUUUACCCGGGGAGCAUAGUUUAACUGUUUAAAAUCUUCACACAAUUGUUUCUAGAUCUAUAUUUUGGGGCAGUCUUGUAAGCAAUAUAUUCAUAUGUUAUCUUC